Molecule: non-coding RNA, 86 nt
Organism: Potamilus streckersoni
Lineage: Eukaryota; Metazoa; Mollusca; Bivalvia; Unionida; Unionidae
Source: the annotation of a GenBank genome assembly
GUGUGGACCGCUCAAAUGACCUAGUGGUUAGAGUGUCCGCCUCAGAUGCGGAAGGUCGCGGGUUUGAACCCCAAACGAAUCAUACC